Long non-coding RNA from Homo sapiens (human), 1742 nucleotides. Ensembl annotates it as long intergenic non-protein coding RNA 511. The record is from Ensembl. NCBI's taxonomy places the organism in Eukaryota, Metazoa, Chordata, Mammalia, Primates, Hominidae.
GGGUCUCAUGGAGGAGAGAAGGCAGGGACAGAGAAGAGUCUGCCCGAAGCAAAUGCCAAUCCUUGCAGAGUGCCGAGCGAGCUGGGAGCAGCGGUAUUUUUCCCUCUCCACCCUGGUCUUCUCCUGUAACGUGUGGCCGCCUUUUCCAGCACGGCCUCCUGCCUUCCUGGUGCACUUUUUGGAGAACGUGGUGGAAUCAGAGGUUUCUGGCUGACUCGGUGGGUGCUUUGAACCAGGAAAGGACAAGAAAGAGGAUGGGAAGGACUGAUCCACAUUCCCACCAGGAAGUUUAGCAGAACCCCCGCGUGCCACCUGGACCCCUUGGAAGGACCUGGCUCAGGCUGGACCACCUCUUGAGAGGCAGGAGCUCUGGAUUUGAUCAAGAAUUCUUUGCUGAGCAUGGUGCCUCAUGCCUAUAAUCCCAACACUUUGGGAGGCCAGUGUGGGAGGAUCUCUUGAGCCCAGGAGUUCAAGACUAGCCUGGGCAACACAGAGAGACCCCAUCUCUAAAAUAAUAAUAAUAAUAAAAUAAAAAAUUAGCAGGGCAUGGUGGCAUGUGCCUGUAGUCCCAGCUACCCAGGAGGCUGAGGCAAGAGGAUGGCUGGAGCCUGGGAUGUUGAGGCUGCAAUGAACUGUGAUUACCCCACUGCACUCCAGCCUGGGCAAAAGAGCGAGAGACCCUGUCUCAAAUAAUAAUAAUAAUAAUAAUCUUAUUUUGGAGAAUAAAGAGACCUCUGGAUUUGAGGUGCCAUUUGGGUAGAAAGAAAAGACGUUUACACCGAGAAAUAGUCUGUGUUGCCCUGAAGGAGCAGAGGGAUGCAUCGCUGGAGGUGACCUACAGUUGAAGAAGACUCAUUAUGACAGACCUUGUCCUUCUUCCUUGUGGAAAGUGUUUCCUCUGCUGCUACUGCUCAUGAGACUCUUCCCCCUCCCUGUCCCAGGGAACCAAAGGGCUUUCUACCACACCCUUUCUUGCCCCCCGCCUCCCAUGUCUGCUGUGCCUUUGUACUCAGCAAUUCUUGUUUGCUCCAUUAUCUUCCAGCCGGAUACAGAGUGAAUAGUUAACCACACUUAGGUCAAAUAGGAUCUAAAUUUUUGUUCCUGCUCCGUGUAAAGAGGCCAGUGUUUGUGUGUUGCAAGCAGCCUUGGAAUAGUAACUCUUCUCAUUUGUUUGGGAUCUGGCCACCAAGUUCCAGAAUGAUACACGGAUCAGUGCAGAAGUUCAUCAGGCUCUCGGACCUUAGGGCUGUUGGAGAAGGCUUCAGCAGCAGAACUGAUGGUGAAGGCUCGUGUUCUCCAUCCUCAACUUUCUUUGCUUCGAUCAUACACAAGAAUACAUUUGGAAGGGCAAAAAAUGAACACUGUCGUUCAUUGCAGCCGUGUUUUGUGACACAGAUGCACAGUCUGCUGUGAAGACCUUCUCUCAAGUGGCAUUUGGGAGUCCAUGCCAGAUCAUGGUGCUUCAUGAGAGACUGACAGCUAUCAGGGGUUGUGGCACUUAGUGAGGACUCUCCUCCCCCAGUGUGUGCUGAUGACACAUACACACCUGACAAUAGCUUGAGUCUUCUCUGUUCCUUUUACUCUGUAGCCAACAUACACAUGAUUUAAAACCCUUUCUAAAUAUCUAUCAUGGUUCAUCCUUGUCCAAAUGCAGAGUCAGAGCUAUUUGUACUUCAUUAUUAUUUCCAAGGCGAAUAGUUGGCUUUCUUUUUGCAAAAAUAAUUAAAGUUUUUGUAUGUUGC